UGCAGAAUCCCGUGAACCAUCGAGUCUUUGAACGCAAGUUGCGCCCCAAGCCUUCUGGCCGAGGGCACGUCUGCCUGGGUGUCACAAAUCGUCGUCCCCCUCUUCAUCCAUUGCGGAGAUGGGACGGAAACUGGUCUCCCGUGUGUUACCGCACGCGGUUGGCCAAAAUUCAAGCCAAGGAUGCUGGGAGCGUCCCGACAUGCGGUGGUGAACUCAAAACCUUCAUACCGUCGAUCGCUCCUGUCCGAAAGCUCUAGAUGACCCAAAGUCUUAAAAGCGACCCCAGGUCAGGCGGGAUCACCCGCUGAGUU
This 311-nucleotide unclassified non-coding RNA is filed under the name Erysimum marschallianum. Its description in RNAcentral is "sequence contains ITS2". The stretch from base 1 to 84 matches the Rfam family "5.8S ribosomal RNA", at positions 73 to 154 of the family's 154-position model. The record is from RNAcentral. Lineage: Eukaryota; Viridiplantae; Streptophyta; Magnoliopsida; Brassicales; Brassicaceae.